RNAcentral lists this ribosomal RNA (492 nucleotides) under uncultured bacterium. RNAcentral's name for it is "partial 16S ribosomal RNA". It matches the Rfam family "Bacterial small subunit ribosomal RNA", at positions 30 to 507 of the family's 1533-position model. The record is from RNAcentral.
AUUGAACGCUGGCGGCAUGCUUUACACAUGCAAGUCGAACGGUAACAAGCCUUCGGGUGCUGACGAGUGGCGAACGGGUGAGUAAUGCAUCGGAACGUGCCCAGAGGUGGGGGAUAACGCAGCGAAAGCUGUGCUAAUACCGCAUGUGAUCUGAGGAUGAAAGCGGGGGACCAGGCAGCAAUGUUUGGCCUCGCGCCUUUGGAGCGGCCGAUGUCAGAUUAGGUAGUUGGUGGGGUAAAGGCCUACCAAGCCGACGAUCUGUAGCUGGUCUGAGAGGACGACCAGCCACACUGGAACUGAGACACGGCCCAGACUCCUACGGGAGGCAGCAGUGGGGAAUGUUGGACAAUGGGCGCAAGCCUGAUCCAGCAAUGCCGCGUGCGGGAAGAAGGCCUUCGGGUUGUAAACCGCUUUUGUACGGAACGAAAAGGCUCUGGCUAAUACCUGGGGCUGAUGACGGUACCGUAAGAAUAAGCACCGGCUAACUACGUG